RNAcentral lists this ribosomal RNA (337 nucleotides) under Crotalaria microcarpa. Its description in RNAcentral is "5.8S ribosomal RNA". The stretch from base 49 to 204 matches the Rfam family "5.8S ribosomal RNA". The record is from RNAcentral. Lineage: Eukaryota; Viridiplantae; Streptophyta; Magnoliopsida; Fabales; Fabaceae.
CCGGAGAUGGUGCUCGUGCGGGCGGCGAUGCGACACGCGUAUCCGAAAGACUCUCGGCAACGGAUAUCUCGGCUCUUGCAUCGAUGAAGAACGUAGCGAAAUGCGAUACUUGGUGUGAAUUGCAGAAUCCCGUGAACCAUCGAGUCUUUGAACGCAAGUUGCGCCCGAAGCCAUUAGGCUGAGGGCACGCCUGCCUGGGUGUCGCCCAUUGUUGCCCCUGCCUUGGCCUCGUGCCAGGCACCGAGCUGGGCGAAUGUUGGCUUCCCGCGAGCAACGCCUCACGGUUGGUUGAAAACUGAGUCCGUGGUGGAGGGCGCCGUGACGGAUGGUGGUUGAG